AUUGAACGCUGGCGGAAUGCUUUACACAUGCAAGUCGAACGGCAGCACGGGGGCAACCCUGGUGGCGAGUGGCGAACGGGUGAGUAAUACAUCGGAACGUGCCCAGUCGUGGGGGAUAACGUAGCGAAAGUUACGCUAAUACCGCAUACGAUCUACGGAUGAAAGCGGGGGACCGUAAGGCCUCGCGCGAUUGGAGCGGCCGAUGUCAGAUUAGGUAGUUGGUGAGGUAAAGGCUCACCAAGCCGACGAUCUGUAGCUGGUCUGAGAGGACGUCCAGCCACAAUGAGAGUGGGACACGGCCCAGACUCCUACGGGGGGCAGCAGUGGGGAAUGUUGGACAAUGGGCGCAAGCCUGAUCCAGCCAUUCCGCGUGCAGGACGAAGGCCUUCGGGUUGUAAACUGCUUUUGUACGGAACGAAAAGGCUCUGGUUAAUACCUGGGGCUCAUGACGGUACCGUAAGAAUAAGCACCGGCUAACUACGUGCCAGCCGCCGCGGUAA
RNAcentral lists this ribosomal RNA (500 nucleotides) under uncultured bacterium. Its description in RNAcentral is "partial 16S ribosomal RNA". It matches the Rfam family "Bacterial small subunit ribosomal RNA", at positions 30 to 523 of the family's 1533-position model. The record is from RNAcentral.